UACCAGCACCCCGAGUGGUCGGGACGUUUAUUGGGCCUAAAGCAUCCGUAGCCGGUUCUACAAGUCUUCCGUUAAAUCCACCUGCUUAACAGAUGGGCUGCGGAGGAUACUAUAGAGCUAGGAGGCGGGAGAGGCAAGCGGUACUUAGUGGGUAGGGGUAAAAUCCGUUGAUCCGUUGAAGACCACCAGUGGCGAAGGCGGCUUGCCAGAACGCACUCGACGGUGAGGGAUGAAAGCUGGGGGAGCAAACCGG
RNAcentral lists this ribosomal RNA (253 nucleotides) under uncultured bacterium. RNAcentral's name for it is "partial 16S ribosomal RNA". It matches the Rfam family "Archaeal small subunit ribosomal RNA", at positions 474 to 727 of the family's 1478-position model. The record is from RNAcentral.